Molecule: long non-coding RNA, 1475 nt
Filed under: Homo sapiens (human)
Lineage: Eukaryota; Metazoa; Chordata; Mammalia; Primates; Hominidae
Description: long intergenic non-protein coding RNA 293
Source: RNAcentral
AGGUGAUAUAACCCUCUUCUCUGGAAUGGGCCCCACACAAAGGAAGGAUAGUGACAUAUUGCAAGCCCAGGCACACAGGCCCAGAGCACAGUUGAAAUUGUGACAUAUGUACACCAAGCAACCAAGCAAUGUAUAACACCUCAUUUGGCAAUGGAAUCGAGGGCACUUUUACAUAUCACUGAGACCAGCGCCCAGCUGAUGUGAAAUAUUGGCCUGAACCCUGCCUACAAAAGCAUUGUGGCUUUUAUCUAGCUCCAUUACAUAAGUGAUGUGACUUCCUUCUACUGCCUUGGCCCUGCACUUAUGGUGAAUCGUGACACAAAAUUGGGUAGAGCAACCAGCCUGGGCCCUGACCAGCACAGAGAUUGAGGCAUAUUGCUGAACCCAGGACCAAGAUGAAGUCACUCUCCUGCCUUGAUCCUGCACACAGGGACCCUUGUGACAUAUAUACAGGCCAAUUGCCUAGGUGAUGUUGUGCAAUAUACCUGAGACCAGAUCAAUGGCCUAAUAAUGACUCUUUUACCUAGAGCCAGGACAUGUGCAGGAUGGUAACUCUCAUCCCUGAACCUUUCCACAGGUGUUAUUGUCACAUAUACCUUUUCCAGCUCCAAAGUGAUUUAAUAAUCCAGCCUAGUUAUAGCCCACAGAUAAUAUUUGGACAUAUACCUGAGUCAAGAACCUUGGUGAUUUGACUCUCAUGUCUUAACAGUGUCCUCAGAAGGGAUCAUAACAUAUCUCUGGACCCAUCAUCUAGGUUAUGUGACUCUCUUCUCCUGCCUGAACCCUGCUUCCAGUGAAGAGUGUUGCAUUUCUAAGCACUGCAUCCAAAUGACAUGAGUUUCUUGCCUGGGCCGUUUCAACAGAAGGCAUUGUGACAUAUCUCUAGGUCUAUCAUUUAGGUGAUAUGACUCUCCUCUCCUGCCUGGACACUCUCCACAAGGGGCAUUAUGCCAUAGAGCUAGAGCUAGCAACCAAGUUUUGUGAAUUUUCUGUUAGGGCCUUGCCUACAAAGAGAAUUUUGGAAUAUUUCUGGCUUAGAAUUUAAGUAAUGUGGUUGUUCUGCCUGUUCAGUAACCACAGAGGAGAAGGUGAAAUAUAUCUAGGCACCGCAAACAGGCAUGAUAAUGAGUCUUGUAUGUGGACCCAGCAAAUAGGAGAAAUUUUGACUCUUAUAACUAGGUUUAGGAACAUGAGUGAUGUCCAGGAUCUCCUUCUGGUAAGAAGGUCACAGAAGAUUGCAACACUCACAAUUAUUUUGUAACACCUUUGGGUUGUAUAGGGAGUGUCGUAACAGGGCCAAACACACAGAGGAAAUUGUGACAGUCAUAUGCACACCUACCUGACAGUAAAGACUUUCACAAUCACAAAUGGAUGAAGGCAACUGUCCUACAUGAAAACAGGACAUGUGUGGUAUUGUACAUCUAAAACCUAGAAUUUUAUUCCAUUGUGACUGUGAUAUAAAUCAAUGCCAAGCA